GACGAACGCUGGCGGCGUGCUUAACACAUGCAAGUCGAACGGAAAGGCCCUGCUUUUGUGGGGUGCUCGAGUGGCGAACGGGUGAGUAACACGUGAGUAACCUGCCCUUGACUUUGGGAUAACUUCAGGAAACUGGGGCUAAUACCGGAUAGGAGCUCCUGCUGCAUGGUGGGGGUUGGAAAGUUUCGGCGGUUGGGGAUGGACUCGCGGCUUAUCCGCUUGUUGGUGGGGUAGUGACUUACCAAGGCUUUGACGGGUAGCCGGCCUGAGAGGGUGACCGGCCUCAAUGGGACUGAGGUACGGCCCAGACUCCAACGGGAGGCAGCAGUGGGGAGUAUUGCACAGUGGGCGGAAGCCAGAGACAGCAACCCCGCGUGCGGGAUGACGGCCUUCGGGUUGUAAACCGCUUUCGCCUGUGACGAAGCGUGAGUGACGGUAAUGGGUAAAGAAGCACCGGCUAACUACGUG
This 468-nucleotide ribosomal RNA is filed under the name uncultured bacterium. RNAcentral describes it as "partial 16S ribosomal RNA". It matches the Rfam family "Bacterial small subunit ribosomal RNA", at positions 28 to 507 of the family's 1533-position model. The record is from RNAcentral.